GACGAACGCUGGCGGCGUGCUUAACACAUGCAAGUCGAACGGAAAGGCCCUGCUUUUGUGGGGUGCUCGAGUGGCGAACGGGUGAGUAACACGUGAGUAACCUGCCCUUGACUUUGGGAUAACUUCAGGAAACUGGGGCUAAUACCUGAUAGGAGCUCCUGCUGCAUGGUGGGGGUUGGAAAGUUUCGGCGGUUGGGGAUGGACUCGCGGCUUAUCAGCUUGUUGGUGGGGUAGUGGCUUACCAAGGCUUUGACGGGUAGCCGGCCUGAGAGGGUGACCGGCCACAUUGGGACUGAGGUACGGCCCAGACUCCUACGGGAGGCAGAAGUGGGGAAUAUUGCACAAUGGGCGGAAGCCUGAUGCAGCAACGCCGCGUGCGGGAUGACGGCCUUCGGGUUGUAAACCGCUUUCGCCUGUGACGAAGCGUGAGUGACGGUAAUGGGUAAAGAAGCACCGGCUAACUACGUG
RNAcentral lists this ribosomal RNA (468 nucleotides) under uncultured bacterium. RNAcentral describes it as "partial 16S ribosomal RNA". It matches the Rfam family "Bacterial small subunit ribosomal RNA", at positions 28 to 507 of the family's 1533-position model. The record is from RNAcentral.